UUGCCGGGGAAUCACAUCAUGUGUUCACCUGCUACAUGGUGGGACUUCCCUGCAACC
This 57-nucleotide microRNA precursor is filed under the name Branchiostoma lanceolatum (amphioxus). RNAcentral's name for it is "Bla-Mir-4872-P7b_pre stem-loop". Lineage: Eukaryota; Metazoa; Chordata; Leptocardii; Amphioxiformes; Branchiostomatidae. The record is from RNAcentral.